CUACGUGCCAGCAGCCGCGGUAAUACGGAAGGUCCAGGCGUUAUCCGGAUUUAUUGGGUUUAAAGGGAGCGUAGGCCGGAGAUUAAGUGUGUUGUGAAAUGUAGACGCUCAACGUCUGACUUGCAGCGCAUACUGGUUUCCUUGAGUACGCACAACGUUGGCGGAAUUCGUCGUGUAGCGGUGAAAUGCUUAGAUAUGACGAAGAACUCCGAUUGCGAAGGCAGCUGACGGGAGCGCAACUGACGCUUAAGCUCGAAGGUGCGGGUAUCAAACAGGAUUAGAUACCCUGGUAGUCCGCACAGUAAACGAUGGAUGCCCGCUGUUGGUACCUGGUAUCAGCGGCUAAGCGAAAGCAUUAAGCAUCCCACCUGGGGAGUACGCCGGCAACGGUGAAACUCAAAGGAAUUGACGGGGGCCCGCACAAGCGGAGGAACAUGUGGUUUAAUUCGAUGAUACGCGAGGAACCUUACCCGKGCUUGAAUUSCAGAGGAAGGA
Molecule: ribosomal RNA, 495 nt
Filed under: uncultured bacterium
Lineage: Bacteria
Description: bacterial SSU rRNA
Rfam family: Bacterial small subunit ribosomal RNA
Source: RNAcentral